CACGUAGGGGCCAAGCGUUGUCCGGAUUUAUUGGGCGUAAAGAGCUCGUAGGCGGUUCGACAAGUCGGGUGUGAAAACUCCGGGCUCAACCCGGAGACGCCACCCGAUACUGUCGUGACUGGAGUCCGGUAGGGGAGUGGGGAAUUCCUGGUGUAGCGGUGAAAUGCGCAGAUAUCAGGAGGAACACCGGUGGCGAAGGCGCCACUCUGGACGGCAACUGACGUUGAGGCACGAAAGCGUGGGGAGCAAACAGG
RNAcentral lists this ribosomal RNA (254 nucleotides) under uncultured bacterium. RNAcentral's name for it is "partial 16S ribosomal RNA". It matches the Rfam family "Bacterial small subunit ribosomal RNA", at positions 524 to 776 of the family's 1533-position model. The record is from RNAcentral.